Cyanistes caeruleus (blue tit) is the source of this 2127-nucleotide long non-coding RNA. The record is from Ensembl. NCBI's taxonomy places the organism in Eukaryota, Metazoa, Chordata, Aves, Passeriformes, Paridae.
UCCUUUGGCAGUGCAGAGCCCUCAACCCUGAGUUCAUUCCCCUCAAAGUCAGAUUAUUUGACUUAAUUUGUGAUGGCGGUCAUGUAUAAGGGGAGGCGUGCCUGUGCUCUGUACGUUUCUCUGUCCCUCCUUGGCUUUCUGCAGAGCAGCUGAGACAAACUGCCCAUUUUGAUCCAGCUUCUAGUUUCCUCUGCUCUGCAUGAGUGAUGGUGUUGGAGUUCAGGUUUGGGCUCAUCUGCAAAUAAGGGUGACUCAUGUGACUUAUGGGUCUCUGGAAAAAUAUUUUUUUCAGUUUUCUAAAACUGGCUGCUUUUCUGUCUGGAAAAAAGAAAAAAAAUCUUUCUUUUGGGUGAGUGAGUCCAAGAGUUCUGCUCUUGCAUCUAUGCUAUGACAUUUCAAAUCCUGGGCAAGUGAAGGUGUAUUGCAUGGGUUUAAAAACUGAAGUGCUUUCUGGGCUUGUGUUUUUCUUCUUUAUUCUCUCUUAAUGUGAAGAAUAAAAAUCACCUCAGGUAAACACUGUAGUCAAUUGCAAGUCUCAGCUUGAAACUGUUUUUUAUUUGUUGAUCUCAUAUUUAUUAGCACAACUUUGAACUUAAAAUCUGGAUGUCUGAUUCCUGCAGUCAGCAGGGAAAUCUUUGAAUAUUUAAGCUGGGGCAGGGAGCUGUCAGAGAUCAGUGUCCCAGAAGCAGCUUGUGCAGUAAUAGUGAUCCUAGAGAUAUCUGCUUUAUAUACAGAAAUCUUGACAUGUGCCCUCUCUGCAAUAGGCUUUUUACAAACAGGCUCUACAAAUGCUUGAAAUGAAAAUUCAGAUAUUGCCAAAUGGCAGGGCUCACUUGGUGACACGACAGGCCCCUGCGUGCUUCUUCUUCCACUUACCACAGAGGGUAGAAACACAAGCAAAAGGUUGUCUCCUGUCUCCAGGAAAUUUCCAAAGGCCAGAACCAGUGCUAUGUGUCUUUGGAAGAGCUUUGACAUCAUUCCUGUGCUAUAUACAGGUGGUUAAUUGUUCACCAUGUGCUGCAUAUCUGUUUCAGUAUGGCACUGAUGAGCAGAGCCCAGGGCACUGUUCUUCCCUGCCUAAAGACUGCAGCAUGGGAAGCUCGCCCAGCACACUUGUGUCCCAGUGAAGAGAGCGAGGCCACUGCUGCAGUGUGGGCAAAGCUUGGUAGGCAGCUUUGAAAGAGAAAUUUUUCCGUUGGCUGACUGUGAGCUGAGGGUGGGAGUGUUUGCUCCUAUUCCCUAGUCAAAAGCAGGAUGUGAGGCUGCCCACAGGGUUCUCCAGCUUGCGGACUUCUCUGGGGUGGCAGGGAAGCAGCAACGUGCCUGGAAGUUGGAGACAAAAGUAUCGUUAUUAAAAUGCUCUGAAUUGUGUUAGGCUGAUGCCCUGUUGCUCUUUGGAGCAGGUAUGAUGCCUCUUAUCUGUGUCAGUUGCUCUUUGGAGCCGGUGUGUUGUCUCUUGUCUUCGUGCUGCCAACUUUCGUGACCUGUGUAGUUGCUCUGAGCCCACUGGAGCCAGUUUGGCAGUGGAGAGGCCCUAUAUUGUAAUGCUGGCUCAGGUUGCCUGAGCUGAGCCCUCCUGGCUGCUCCCUACCUCUGUGCUCAACCGUGAAAAAUGAGCCCUGGGGAGAUGAGAUCAAGGCGUCCUUUUUCCUUGUAGCAAAGGGUUUCUAAAUGCUCUGUAAACAUCACUGAGCUGCACGUCACCUGCCUGGUGAGACAGCAAGUAGGAGACUCCACUGGGAUGCUUUGCUCGGAACAGGUGGUGUGUGUAGGCAAAGAACAAGUUGGUGAGGAAAGAUGUCAAUUGUUUAAUUCCCACAUCUUGUUUAGCCAGAAAGCAGGCAGAGCUUUACCUGCUCCUCUGAAUUGCCAAACUGGCGCAUUUAGCCGUGCUUGUAUUUGCCACCAAGUAAGACCAUCUUGCUGUAUGUUCUUCAGACCCUGGAACACCUAGUCAACUGCACACUCUGCUCUUCUUGCUUUGUGUUGCCUUUGGCUCCUGGGUGUCUGAAUCCUGCAGAGCAGGUGCUGGCUGAUGUUCACCGUGUGCUCAUGAAUGAUUUUAUUCUCGUCCCUUCAUCACAUUUCCUCUGUGUGCAGCUUUCAGAGGAUGCUGUUUUCCUCACA